Molecule: ribosomal RNA, 492 nt
Filed under: uncultured bacterium
Lineage: Bacteria
Description: partial 16S ribosomal RNA
Rfam family: Bacterial small subunit ribosomal RNA
Source: RNAcentral
AGUGAACGCUGGCGGUAGGCCUAACACAUGCAAGUCGAACGGCGGCACAGUAAGAGCUUGCUCUUACGGGUGGCGAGUGGCGGACGGGUGAGGAAUACAUCGGAAUCUACUUUUUCGUGGGGGAUAACGUAGGGAAACUUACGCUAAUACCGCAUACGACCUACGGGUGAAAGCAGGGGAUCUUCGGACCUUGCGCGAUUGAAUGAGCCGAUGUCGGAUUAGCUAGUUGGCGGGGUAAAGGCCCACCAAGGCGACGAUCCGUAGCUGGUCUGAGAGGAUGAUCAGCCGCACUGGAACUGAGACACGGUCCAGACUCCUACGGGAGGCAGCAGUGGGGAAUAUUGGACAAUGGGCGCAAGCCUGAUCCAGCCAUACCGCGUGGGUGAAGAAGGCCUUCGGGUUGUAAAGCCCUUUUGUUGGGAAAGAAAAGCAGCAGGUUAAUACCCCGCUGUUCUGACGGUACCCAAAGAAUAAGCACCGGCUAACUUCGUG